RNAcentral lists this ribosomal RNA (480 nucleotides) under uncultured bacterium. RNAcentral's name for it is "partial 16S ribosomal RNA". It matches the Rfam family "Bacterial small subunit ribosomal RNA", at positions 28 to 523 of the family's 1533-position model. The record is from RNAcentral.
GACGAACGCUGGCGGCGUGCCUAACACACGCAAGUCGAGCGAGUGAAUCUCCUUCGGGAGUGAAACUAGCGGCGGACGGGUGAGUAACACGUGGGCAACCUGCCUCAUAGAGGGGAAUAGCCUUUCGAAAGGAAGAUUAAUACCGCAUAAGAUUGUAGCUUCGCAUGAAGUAGCAAUUAAAGGAGUAAUCCGCUAUGAGAUGGGCCCGCGGCGCAUUAGCUAGUUGGUGAGGUAACGGCUCACCAAGGCGACGAUGCGUAGCCGACCUGAGAGGGUGAUCGGCCACAUUGGGACUGAGACACGGCCCAGACUCCUACGGGAGGCAGCAGUGGGGAAUAUUGCACAAUGGGGGAAACCCUGAUGCAGCAACGCCGCGUGAGUGAUGACGGCCUUCGGGUUGUAAAACUCUGUCUUCAGGGACGAUAAUGACGGUACCUGAGGAGGAAGCCACGGCUAACUACGUGCCAGCCGCCGCCGUAA